RNAcentral lists this transfer RNA (71 nucleotides) under Loxodonta africana (African savanna elephant). It matches the Rfam family "tRNA". Rfam says of the family: Transfer RNA (tRNA) molecules are approximately 80 nucleotides in length. Their secondary structure includes four short double-helical elements and three loops (D, anti-codon, and T loops). The record is from Rfam by way of RNAcentral. Lineage: Eukaryota; Metazoa; Chordata; Mammalia; Proboscidea; Elephantidae.
GCAUUGGUGGAUCUGUGGUAGAAUUCUCACCUUCCAUGGCAGAGACUUGGGUUGGAUUCCCAGCCAAUGUA